GAUGAAGAGCGCAGCGAAAUGCGAUAAGUAAUGUGAAUUGCAGAAUUCAGUGAAUCAUCGAAUCUUUGAACGCACCUUGCGCCCCUUGGUUAUUCCAAAGGGCAUGCCUGUUUGAGUAUCAUGAACACCUCAACUCUUGUGGUUUCCCACAAUGAGCUUGGACUGUGGAGGUUUUGUUGGCCCUGUGGUCAGCUCCUCUCAAAUGGAUCAGCUUACCGGUGUUUGGUGGCAUUACGGGUGUGAUAACUAUCUACGCUCGUGGUCGUCUCCAAAUAACCUCCAGUGAUGGAGGUUCGCUGGAGCUUAUAAAUGUCUCUCCCCAGUGAAGACAGCCUUUGAACGUUCGAUCUCAAAUCAGGUAGGACUACCCGCUGAACUUAAGCAUAUCAAUAAGCGGAGGA
RNAcentral lists this unclassified non-coding RNA (401 nucleotides) under soil metagenome. RNAcentral's name for it is "partial contains 5.8S ribosomal RNA, internal transcribed spacer 2, and large subunit ribosomal RNA". The stretch from base 1 to 121 matches the Rfam family "5.8S ribosomal RNA", at positions 35 to 154 of the family's 154-position model. The record is from RNAcentral.